AUGACAGAAAAAAUAAAUAAUACUAUGUACAUAUUUCCAUAUUUCAUUAAUCAAGGUCAUGAAGGAGAGAAAAGACAACUUUGCGGCCAUGCCCGUCCUCAAGGAUCAUUGCCCUUCCUUGCAAGUUUGUCUUGUCCAGGAUCUCCAUCUUUGAUGGACCACAUACACAGGCUCCAUAGAUCAUCAAGUCACAUGGCUCGUAAAGGAAUCUGUGAUCGUUCUUGGAGCCGUUUUGCUGCUUGGACUAGAACAUGGUUUCCUGAUCUAACCAUCUUCUUCAGCUGGUGCAUGGAGCUCUCAAACGCAAAGGCACUGCAUUUGUCUAAUGAUCCAUAUGUGGUGGCAUCAGCAGUGAGGUGAAGCAGUGAGUGCACAUUGUACACUAGGAAUUCUUUCCCAUAUGUGUGCCGGCCUUGUUCUACAAAAUAUGUGAGGAGCUCAUGGGCAUACACAUUGUGGGCUUGUGUUAAAUGUGGAGACACUAGUAUACACAAAGCCACACUAAAGGCCAUGAAAUGACUGUACAGGGUUUCUGGCAGGAUUCCCCGGAGAACAACUUUGCCAGUGUAGAGCAUAAACUGCCUGGAUUCAGUGGCCUUCCACCUCUCCAAUUCCUCCAGACUGCGUGGCUUCCUGGCAAAAAUAUGGGGUAUGUCACUUCUCAAGUUCCUUAGCCUCUGAUUGACUUCCCUCAGCUGAGCCGGCGAUAGCAGAUGCCCGACUUGCCCCAUGACCAUAGUAGGAGCAUUUUUCUCAUCACUCCCAGGCAGCACUGGUGCAUGUAGUCAGCAGGGAAAGACUUGAUCAUGACAAUUUGGAGAUUGCUGAAAGGGGACACAGCAUUUUCGUGAUGAUGUUCUGGCUGGUGUUGCUCUCUAAAUGAGACAACGUUCCUCAAAGUGAGGUCAUGGACUUGUUGGUAAGUGAUGCGCCCCUCCCAGUUGCCUUUUUGGGUGCAUUCAUCACAGCCACAGUAACCUGAGAAUUGUUUGAUGCACUUCAGCAUGGCUUUUGCUGGUGUAUCACAGGUAAUGCAUCUCAAUCUUACACUGAGUGUUGUUUCUCCCCAUGCUAAGCCAUUCAUUAGAAUCAUUUUCAGUUCAUCUGACAUUACUCUAAUGAAGUCCGGUGAUUUGGGCUUUUACCAGUGCUCUUAAAGAGUGGCAGUCCAUCUACAUUGAGGGAAAUCUCAAGCUCAGUGAUGUUUUUUGAUUCAAGCACAUGAUUAAUUGUUCAGUCACUCCUAAUGUAAUGCAUUCCACACCAGACACCAUUUGGCUUUCAACAGGAUCCGUUUUUAAUAAUGUUUUAGUAGUAGAUGGCAGGUGUUUAUGCCUGUGAUUCCUGAGAAUUUUGAGCAGUUUUUCUGCAGCUUUGUGCUUGAUAUUAUAUUCAGUGAUCCACCUCUUUAACUCUUCUUCUAAAAUUUCAGUGGGGAUAUAAAUGUUGGCAGUAUUCUGAAAAAACUCUCCAUCCAAUGAUUCUCCAGUCAUUGCAUUUUUUAGGCCUGGGUUCCAGAUUGGCAUAGUGUCCCUGGGAUUGUGUGCUUCACUGUUUAUCACAGUACUAGGACCAGCUGCGUUAAUGUGCACAUUUCUCAUUUUCCGUUGUACCCUCUGCCAAAGUCGUUUUUAUUCUCUUUUCCUAGCUUCUGCAGGCAUCCAGUUGUGUGACACAGCUAUGUGUUUUUUUUUUCUCUGCAAAAUGGGUACACGCAUGUAAUUUAAGAAAAAAACCUAAAGAUCAUAAUUUUUUAGGCAAAUAAAGCGAUCUUUCAUGCCACAUUAUUAGGUGAAAAACAUUUUAAUAUAACAUUGAACUUAUCACAUUGCUGUGAAAUCGAUCCCUUUUUCCUGACAUGUCAGCAAUAUGCUGUAAAUUUGAAAACCUUUUUUGCAAGACAAGCCUACCAUCUGAGAUGACAUCAUGGUAAUCUGUCUGUAGGGCAGGGUCUGGAAAGCACAGAAAAGAGACAAAGUGAGUUGAAAUCACAUAUACGUCGACGUGGGACAAUUUAAUUUACACUUGUUACUUCAAAGGAUACAGAUGAUAUUGGAUACAUGCCUGAAUUGUGAAUUGCUUACCCGCUUGUGCAUUAAAGUGUAAUUUCUAUAACAAUUAUUAUUAUUAUUAUUAUUAUUAUUUUAUUUUGUUUUUAUUUUGUUUGUGUGUUUUGUAUUUAUAAAUAUGGACCUUUAUUUUCACCAAAAAGGCUUAUUUCUGCUUUUUU
Carassius auratus (goldfish) is the source of this 2230-nucleotide long non-coding RNA. The record is from Ensembl. NCBI's taxonomy places the organism in Eukaryota, Metazoa, Chordata, Actinopteri, Cypriniformes, Cyprinidae.